RNAcentral lists this unclassified non-coding RNA (222 nucleotides) under Hevea brasiliensis (rubber tree). The record is from RNAcentral. Lineage: Eukaryota; Viridiplantae; Streptophyta; Magnoliopsida; Malpighiales; Euphorbiaceae.
GGCGGCAUUAUAUUAGAUGGAGAAGAAUUUGUUGGCUUUUGUCUAGGUUAAAUUGGUUUGAAAAUAUUUUAUCGGUUACCUAUAUCUUGCUGGAAAGUAAAAACAUUAUUAGAGCCUGCGGUUAAUUCUAUGUUCUCUAAUUUGAUAUCUUUUUUGUGGCAUUAUAAUAUACUAAAAGCAAUUGGCUGGCAUUGCCUAGAUUAAACCUAAUUCAGAAUUUAU